GGCUCCAUGGUCAAGCGGUUAAGACAUCGCCCUUUCACGGCGGUAACGCGGGUUCGAUUCCCGCUGGAGUCACCA
This 75-nucleotide transfer RNA is filed under the name Clostridia bacterium. RNAcentral's name for it is "tRNA-Glu". It matches the Rfam family "tRNA". Rfam says of the family: Transfer RNA (tRNA) molecules are approximately 80 nucleotides in length. Their secondary structure includes four short double-helical elements and three loops (D, anti-codon, and T loops). Further hydrogen bonds mediate the characteristic L-shaped molecular structure. tRNAs have two regions of fundamental functional importance: the anti-codon, which is responsible for specific mRNA codon recognition, and the 3' end, to which the tRNAs corresponding amino acid is attached (by aminoacyl-tRNA synthetases). tRNAs cope with the degeneracy of the genetic code in two manners: having more than one tRNA (with a specific anti-codon) for a particular amino acid; and 'wobble' base-pairing, i.e. permitting non-standard base-pairing at the 3rd anti-codon position. Lineage: Bacteria; Bacillati; Bacillota; Clostridia. RNAcentral also lists the same sequence under 1 other name. The record is from RNAcentral.